Molecule: ribosomal RNA, 1037 nt
Filed under: uncultured Desulfobacteraceae bacterium
Lineage: Bacteria; Pseudomonadati; Thermodesulfobacteriota; Desulfobacteria; Desulfobacterales; Desulfobacteraceae
Description: bacterial SSU rRNA
Rfam family: Bacterial small subunit ribosomal RNA
Source: RNAcentral
CUUACACAUGCAAGUCGCACGAGAACGCUUCAGCUUGCUGAAGCUAGUAAAGUGGCGUACGGGUGAGUAACGCGUGGGUAAUCUACCUUCAAAUUGAGGAUAACAUUGCGAAAGCGAUGCUAAUACCGAAUAAUAUCUCAAGAACUUCGGCUUUUGAGAUCAAAGGUGGCCUCUCCAUGGAAGCUACUGUUAGGAGAUGAGCCCGCGUACCAUUAGCUUGUUGGUAGGGUAAUGGCCUACCAAGGCAACGAUGGUUAGCUGGUCUGAGAGGAUGAUCAGCCACACUGGAACUGACACACGGUCCAGACUCCUACGGGAGGCAGCAGUGAGGAAUUUUGCGCAAUGGGGGAAACCCUGACGCAGCAACGCCGCGUGAGUGAUGAAGGCUUUCGGGUCGUAAAGCUCUGUCAAGUGGGAAGAACCUGCCCUGUGCUAAUAUCACCGGGCACUGACGGUACCACUGAAGGAAGCACCGGCCAACUCCGUGCCAGCAGCCGCGGUAACACGGGGGGUGCAAGCGUUAUUCGGAAUCACUGGGCGUAAAGAGCGCGUAGGCGGUCUCUUAAGUCAGAUGUGAAAGCCCGGGGCUCAACCCCGGAAGUGCAUUUGAAACUAAGGGACUUGAGUAUGGGAGAGGGAAGUGGAAUUCCUGGUGUAGCGGUGAAAUGCGUAGAUAUCAGGAGGAACACCGGUGGCGAUGGCGACUUCCUGGACCAAUACUGACGCUGAGGCGCGAAGGCGUGGGGAGCAAACAGGAUUAGAUACCCUGGUAGUCCACGCAGUAAACGUUGAACACUAGGUGUAGCGGGUAUUGACCCCUGCUGUGCCGCAGCUAACGCAUUAAGUGUUCCGCCUGGGGAGUACGGCCGCAAGGCUAAAACUCAAAGGAAUUGACGGGGGCCCGCACAAGCGGUGGAGCAUGUGGUUUAAUUCGACGCAACGCGAAGAACCUUACCUGGGUUUGACAUCCCGGGAAUUCUGCGAAAACACAGAAGUGCCCUUCGGGGAACCCGGUGACAGGUGCUUGCAUGGCUGUC